GGUUAAGCGACUAAGCGUACACGGUGGAUGCCCUGGCAGUCAGAGGCGAUGAAGGACGUGCUAAUCUGCGAAAAGCGACGGCGAGGUGAUAUGAACCUUUGACCCGUCGAUGUCCGAAUGGGGAAACCCAGUGUGUUCCGACACACUAUCGUUAACUGAAUACAUAGGUUAACGAGGCGAACCGGGGGAACUGAAACAUCUAAGUACCCCGAGGAAAAGAAAUCAACCGAGAUUCCCCCAGUAGCGGCGAGCGAACGGGGAGCAGCCCGGAGUCUGAAUCAGCUUGUGUGUUAGUGGAACGGUCUGGAAAGUCCGACGGUACAGGGUGAUAGUCCCGUACACGAAAAUGCACAGGUUGUGAACUCGAAGAGUAGGGCGGGACACGUGGUAUCCUGUCUGAAUAUGGGGGGACCAUCCUCCAAGGCUAAAUACUCCUGACUGACCGAUAGUGAACCAGUACCGUGAGGGAAAGGCGAAAAGAACCCCGGCGAGGGGAGUGAAAAAGAACCUGAAACCGUGUACGUACAAGCAGUGGGAGC
RNAcentral lists this ribosomal RNA (539 nucleotides) under Enterobacter hormaechei. RNAcentral describes it as "partial 23S ribosomal RNA". It matches the Rfam family "Bacterial large subunit ribosomal RNA", at positions 1 to 580 of the family's 2925-position model. Lineage: Bacteria; Pseudomonadati; Pseudomonadota; Gammaproteobacteria; Enterobacterales; Enterobacteriaceae. The record is from RNAcentral.